CAAGAUGUAGCUUAACCAAAGCAUCUCGCUUACACCGAGAACAUGCCCGUUCAACCCGGAUCAUUUUGA
This 69-nucleotide transfer RNA is filed under the name Scinax insperatus. RNAcentral's name for it is "tRNA-Val". It matches the Rfam family "tRNA". Rfam says of the family: Transfer RNA (tRNA) molecules are approximately 80 nucleotides in length. Their secondary structure includes four short double-helical elements and three loops (D, anti-codon, and T loops). Lineage: Eukaryota; Metazoa; Chordata; Amphibia; Anura; Hylidae. The record is from RNAcentral.